Small nuclear RNA from Suncus etruscus (white-toothed pygmy shrew), 160 nucleotides. RefSeq annotates it as U1 spliceosomal RNA. The transcript has a single exon. Lineage: Eukaryota; Metazoa; Chordata; Mammalia; Eulipotyphla; Soricidae. The record is from RefSeq and is a predicted model, not a curated record.
AUACUUAUCUGGCAGGGGAGAUACCAUGAUCAAGAAGGUGUUUUCACCAGGGUGAGGCUCAUUCGUUGUACUUUGGAUGUGCCCACCGAAACUUGUGAUUUCCCCAAUAUGAGAAACUCACAUUUGUGGUAGUGGGGGGCUGCUUUUGCACUCUCCCCAU